RNAcentral lists this long non-coding RNA (318 nucleotides) under Vicia faba (fava bean). The record is from RNAcentral. Lineage: Eukaryota; Viridiplantae; Streptophyta; Magnoliopsida; Fabales; Fabaceae.
AUGAAGCAAGAUCCGUUGAAUGCUAAAGCUUAUAGUGGUCUUUUGAUGGAAAAUUUGGAAUUGAAGGAGCCAAUGGAGGGAUUUUUCAAUAGGGUUGAUGAAGCGGUGAAGUUUUUCGAGGAGAAAAAAAUGGACUCAGAAGCUAGAGAAUUUAAGCUUUUGAUUGCUCAGGUGAAAGUCAUGGAAGAGGAUUAUUCAGGGUGUAUAAGGAAAUUGUCAAAGAAGAACCGAGUGAUUUUAGACCUUAUUUGUGUCGAGGCCUUGUUUAUCCUCUGCUUAGAAAGAAUGAUGAAGCUGAGAAACAGUUUGAGAAUAUAG